UUCAAGAAGACAUGUUGCACCCUAGUCUCUCUCCGACGACCCUCGCUCCCUAAGUCUUUCUUAGGUAAUCAGCGUCAACAGCUCCCUACACCCUCAUCUAUCAAGGCUAGAAGGGUGUUUGGAUCGAGCACCAAGGCAGUCGUUCCGCUCUGUCAACCGAGCUACAUGUUAUUUUUUAAUCAAAAGGGUUUAAACUAUUUGAUCAUUUGAUCUGUUGAUGGCAGUCCUCCCACCGGUGAGUGCACAUGCUCUUCAUGUUUCAUAUCAAUCACUCAUGGCUAAUGAAAAUUCAAGCAUUCUUUGUAACUAUUCCAAUGAAUUUGCCAAGAUUUUUGGUUGAAGAAGAGAAACCACUACGUUGAAGGCGGAAUGCUGGAAAUCGUGAACAUUGUCAGGAGAAUGAACUAG
This is a long non-coding RNA of Cynara cardunculus var. scolymus (artichoke), 408 nucleotides long. RefSeq lists it as uncharacterized. The transcript is spliced from 5 exons. The record is from RefSeq and is a predicted model, not a curated record. Lineage: Eukaryota; Viridiplantae; Streptophyta; Magnoliopsida; Asterales; Asteraceae.